ACGGCUCAGUAACACGUGGCUAACCUGCCCUUGGGACCAGAACACCCCCGGGAAACUGGGGCUAAUUCUCGAUAGGUGAAGAACUCUGGAAUGAGUCUUCGCUUAAAAGAGGCUGGGGUUAUGCUCUCCAGUUUCGCCCAAGGAUGGGGCCGCGGCCGAUCAGGUUGUUGGUGAGGUAAUGGCUCACCAAGCCUUUUACCGGUGCGGGCCGUGGGAGCGGGAGCCCGGAGAUGGGCACUGAGACAAGGGCCCAGGCCCUACGGGGCGCAGCAGUCGCGAAAACUUUGCAAUAAGCGAAAGCUUGACAGGGCUAUCCCGAGUGCCAUCCGCUGAGGAAGGCUUUUACCCAGUCUAGAACGCUGGGGGAAUAAGGAGAGGGCAAGUCUGGUGUCAGCCGCCGCGGUAAUACCAGCUCUCCGAGUGGUGUGGAUGUUUAUUGGGCCUAAAGCAUCCGUAGCUGGCUAGGUUAGUCCCCUGUUAAAUCCACCGAAUUAAUCGUUGGAUUGCGGGGGAUACUACUUGGCUAGGGGACGAGAGAGGCAGACGGUAUUUCCGGGGUAGGGGUGAAAUCCUAUAAUCCCGGGAAGACCACCAGUGGCGAAGGCUGUCUGCUAGAACGCGCCCGACGGUGAGGGAUGAAAGCUGGGGGAGCGAACCGGAUUAGAUACCCGGGUAGUCCCAGCUGUAAACGAUGCAGACUAGGUGUUUGGACGGCCACGUGCCGUUCUAGUGCCGCAGGGAAGCUGUUAAGUCUGCCGCCUGGGGAGUACGAUCGCAAGAUUGAAACUUAAAGGAAUUGGCGGGGGAGCAC
This 811-nucleotide ribosomal RNA is filed under the name uncultured archaeon. RNAcentral's name for it is "bacterial SSU rRNA". It matches the Rfam family "Archaeal small subunit ribosomal RNA", at positions 85 to 879 of the family's 1478-position model. The record is from RNAcentral.